RNAcentral lists this ribosomal RNA (328 nucleotides) under uncultured bacterium. RNAcentral's name for it is "bacterial SSU rRNA". It matches the Rfam family "Bacterial small subunit ribosomal RNA", at positions 28 to 323 of the family's 1533-position model. The record is from RNAcentral.
GAUGAACGCUGGCGGCAUGCCUAAGACAUGCAAGUCGAACGAAGUGGCCCAUUGAAGAUGGAGUGCUUGCACAAAGUCAGAUUUGGUUACCACUUAGUGGCAGACGGGUGAGUAACACGUGGGUAACCUACCUCAAAGACUGGGACAACAGUUGGAAACGACUGCUAAUACCGGAUAAUCCAUAUUUAGAUAACUAGAUAUGUUAAAAGAAGCGUUUGCUUCACUUUGAGAUGGGCUUGCGCGCAUUACGAUAGUUGUGGGGUAAUGGCCUACCAAGUCGACGAUGCGUAUCCGAGCUGAGAGGCUGAUCGGACACACUGGGACUGAG